This 495-nucleotide ribosomal RNA is filed under the name uncultured bacterium. RNAcentral's name for it is "partial 16S ribosomal RNA". It matches the Rfam family "Bacterial small subunit ribosomal RNA", at positions 28 to 507 of the family's 1533-position model. The record is from RNAcentral.
GACGAACGCUGGCGGCGUGCCUAAUACAUGCAAGUAGAACGCUGAAGGAGGAGCUUGCUUCUCUGGAUGAGUUGCGAACGGGUGAGUAACGCGUAGGUAACCUGCCUGGUAGUGGGGGAUAACUAUUGGAAACGAUAGCUAAUACCGCAUAAUAGCAGUUGUUGCAUGAUAACUGUUUGAAAGGUGCAAUUGCACCGCUACCAGAUGGACCUGCGUUGUAUUAGCUAGUUGGUGGGGUAACGGCUCACCAAGGCGACGAUACAUAGCCGACCUGAGAGGGUGAUCGGCCACACUGGGACUGAGACACGGCCCAGACUCCUACGGGAGGCAGCAGGAGGGAAUCUUCGGCAAUGGACGGAAGUCUGACCGAGCAACGCCGCGUGAGUGAAGAAGGUUUUCGGAUCGUAAAGCUCUGUUGUAAGAGAAGAACGAGUGUGAGAGUGGAAAGUUCACACUGUGACGGUAUCUUACCAGAAAGGGACGGCUAACUACGUG